This is a small nucleolar RNA of Macadamia integrifolia, 74 nucleotides long. RefSeq annotates it as small nucleolar RNA R66. The transcript has a single exon. The record is from RefSeq and is a predicted model, not a curated record. NCBI's taxonomy places the organism in Eukaryota, Viridiplantae, Streptophyta, Magnoliopsida, Proteales, Proteaceae.
UCCUAUGAUGGCAUGAAAUCUUUGAGACCUGAUAAUUAAUUUGAUGACAAAUAUAAGCAUUUUCAUCUGAGGAC